RNAcentral lists this ribosomal RNA (460 nucleotides) under uncultured bacterium. Its description in RNAcentral is "partial 16S ribosomal RNA". It matches the Rfam family "Bacterial small subunit ribosomal RNA", at positions 338 to 795 of the family's 1533-position model. The record is from RNAcentral.
CCUACGGGUGGCAGCAGUGAGGAAUAUUGGUCAAUGGACGAGAGUCUGAACCAGCCAAGUAGCGUGAAGGAUGACUGCCCUAUGGGUUGUAAACUUCUUUUAUAAAGGAAUAAAACGAGCCACGUGUGCCUUUUUGCAUGUACUUUAUGAAUAAGGAUCGGCUAACUCCGUGCCAGCCGCCGCGGUAAUACGGAGGAUCCGAGCGUUAUCCGGAUUUAUUGGGUUUAAAGGGAGCCUAGAGGGGUUGUUAAGUCAGGUGUGAAAGUUUGCGGCUCAACCAUAAAAUUGCAGUUGAUACUGGCAGGCUUGAGUACAGGUGAGGUAGGCGGAAUUCGUGGUGUAGCGGUGAAAUGCUUAGAUAUCACGAAGAACCCCGAUUGCGAAGGCAGCUUACUAAACUGUGACUGACACUGAUGCUCGAAAGUGUGGGUAUCAAACAGGAUUAGAUACCCUGGUAGUC